ACUGAACUGCCUAUUGAUACAGAUGCUGCCAGCAUUUCUCUUCAAUGUUACAUCAGUCUGUACCAUAAAAGUGGACAUGAUCAUCAGCCUCCUCCUCCUCACCAUCAUCAUCAAUCUACUCAUUAGAUGCCACCGAAAACAUGCAGAGCUGACACAGUUUCUGGAUCAGUCUUGCAGUCUGAAAAUAAUCACACAGCCAGUUAUUUAUUUGCUUUAAACUUAGUGGAAAGUUAUUUCUCUCUCAGCCACAGUGGAAAAAUGUGAGAGAAAACAAACUAUCAAGUCCGGAAGAUCCUUGGAUGGAUGUUUAGUCUCCAGAGAGUGUUUACAAGGGAAUGCAGCUCUUUAUUUCCCUACACUCCAUGACAGAGCCUCUGGAUGGGUGAAAAGUUUCAUCAUUAAACAAAUGGAAACUCCACUUUUAUUCAGUUCUCUUGUCUGUGUAACUCAUGACUCUGGCACAAGGUCCUACAGUGCAUCAUGACAGUGUGACAGUGAGCCAGCAUGGACAAAUGAGUAAUACCAGGAUGUUACAUCUCCUGCUUGACACUAGAGGAACAAUAGAGACUACUACUAAAGAAUUUAAAGGAAUCAGAGUACAACUGGAAAUGAAAGUGAUUAUGGUGCUGUUUUCAGCUCAUCUCAGCACAAAGUCCAAUAAAGAUUUCAAAAAUGUGGGGAAGGAUGAAAACAGAAUUAAGCCUAACUAACCUUUACCUCUAAAAAAACAAACAUAAAAAGACCUAACUCUUUCUGAUCUUAAAAAAAAGAACCAGAACCAAUGACAGAGACAGCAACAACCAGCAAACUUAGUGUGUUGAUACAAUUUACAAUGUAAAGGGUACCCCCAACUUACUUACUGUCCUACCUUCCAUCACAGGUCUUCUAUGUCAUGUUUUCUAAUAUUGAAUAACAAGUUUUUCAAGUGGUAUAACAAUGACUCAGGCAGGCAGAGAGCAGGAUGAAUGAGAGAGAGGGUGGAUUCUUCACAAGUGCUCAUUUGAUGUCAGCAGAGGAGGAAGACAGAGACAAGAGGAAAAAACAACUAACAAAUGAAACACAGGAAUUCAGCCAUCAUUAACUGUAUUAUAUACAUAUGUGCUUUGCUACUGUUCCUAGAAAUAUUACUCCACAGAGCCACCCAGAGGCAAAAAUAGAAAACUACAGAAACAGUUUAAACUUCGGUGGUAGGCUGUUACUGUUGAUUGUUAUUAAAGUCACACUCACCAGAUCUUUUUAUAUGCUACCUGACGGGUGCCACUCUCUAAUAAACCACACUUUAUAAGAUAUAUGACAUUCACUAGUGCUCUGUAGAUCACACGUGUGCCAUUAAUGACAAGUUUUGGGUUAGCAGGUUGUGAAAAGAUGAUUUUACUAAUCCUCAUUCCCAGAGUAAAUUAUUAACAAAUGAUCAAUAUCCAUAAGUGCAGACCUGAUGGAUUGUCACUUUAUCAACAUUUAUUACUGCUGAUUCUGUGACUUAUCAGACAUCUACACAGUUAGUCAUUUUAAUUUCAUCCAACUCAGAAUCUUCAGUUCUCCUGCUGCCUUAAAACUGCAAGUCAGCUGAACUAAGUUUAACAGUUAGUUAAAUGUCGUUUUAUACAUUUUGAAAAGAACUAACUGAUAGAGUUGACCAAACGUAAAGAAACAAGUUCAAUAAAUUGUGUGAUAAAGUGAUUAGUCACAGUCGUUACAGACAGAUUUACUUUCUCUUUACAUUUCCUCUAUUUAAAGAGCCAGUCCUUCAUUUGUCAUGAAGAACUUAGAACUGGAGCUGCUGAUACCAUUUUGUACCACAGUCAGCACACAGACAACAUGUAAGGAUGCUCUAAGUAGCUAUAUUACAUUUUCUGUUUUAAAGGGGUAAGGACUGAAUUCAAUACUAAUCCUCUCUGUGAUUGGCACUGAUUUAAUUAUUAUGAGAAAAAAGAACCAUGACUUACUGUCACAUGUAUUAAAUACACACAUCAACUUUACAUCAGAUCAGUAAACUCUCUGGAGAGUUUCGACUCUCAAACAAUGCAUGAUGUGAAAUCUGCUAAUAUGCAAGUUUCUUUUAAAACUUUAAGUCAAAACUCAAAAUUUGGAGCAACUCAUAUUAAUACAUUCAACAAUUGUCUGACAAUUAAAUCUAAGUAGAAUUAACUUGAAAUAAAUACACCUUACAAAUUUAGGUUAACAAGAAAAUCAUUAGUUGAUUCCACUAUGAUUUAUAGUGUCUGACUGCAUUUUUACCAAUUAACAAACAACCAGAAAAAUCUUUCCAAUAUAAAGCCUUUAUAAAAGCUACUAAAAGUGCUAAGUGUAAAUAUCUUGUAUGGACAUCCAGUGAUACACCACUGACAAUAACAAGCAGUUUAUUGAAACUGUGUUACUUUGUCUGAAUGUAUCAUUUUCUGUUUUUUACGUUCUUUAAUAGCAGCUGUAGAUCACUUCAGCUACAUAAAUAAAUGACUGAUGAUGCUU
Lates calcarifer (barramundi perch) is the source of this 2469-nucleotide long non-coding RNA. RefSeq lists it as uncharacterized. The transcript is spliced from 3 exons. Lineage: Eukaryota; Metazoa; Chordata; Actinopteri; Centropomidae. The record is from RefSeq and is a predicted model, not a curated record.